GCAGUUAUGAUUCAGAGGUGGAAUUCUUAUCUUCCACAUGGGAGAUUUGGGUUCAAUUCCCAGCCAAUGCA
RNAcentral lists this transfer RNA (71 nucleotides) under Loxodonta africana (African savanna elephant). It matches the Rfam family "tRNA". Rfam says of the family: Transfer RNA (tRNA) molecules are approximately 80 nucleotides in length. Their secondary structure includes four short double-helical elements and three loops (D, anti-codon, and T loops). Further hydrogen bonds mediate the characteristic L-shaped molecular structure. tRNAs have two regions of fundamental functional importance: the anti-codon, which is responsible for specific mRNA codon recognition, and the 3' end, to which the tRNAs corresponding amino acid is attached (by aminoacyl-tRNA synthetases). tRNAs cope with the degeneracy of the genetic code in two manners: having more than one tRNA (with a specific anti-codon) for a particular amino acid; and 'wobble' base-pairing, i.e. permitting non-standard base-pairing at the 3rd anti-codon position. The record is from Rfam by way of RNAcentral. Lineage: Eukaryota; Metazoa; Chordata; Mammalia; Proboscidea; Elephantidae.